GAUGAACGCUGGCGGCGUGCCUAAUACAUGCAAGUCGAGCGAACAGAUAAGGAGCUUGCUCCUUUGACGUUAGCGGCGGACGGGUGAGUAACACGUGGGUAACCUACCUAUAAGACUGGGAUAACUUCGGGAAACCGGAGCUAAUACCGGAUAACAUUUGGAACCGCAUGGUUCUAAAGUGAAAGAUGGUUUUGCUAUCACUUAUAGAUGGACCCGCGCCGUAUUGGCUAGUUGGUAAGGUAACGGCUUACCAAGGCAACGAUACGUAGCCGACCUGAGAGAGUGAUCGGCCACACUGGAACGGAGACACGGUCCAGACUCCUAAGGGAGGCAGCAGUAGGGAAUCUUACGCAAUGGGCGAAAGCCUGACGGAGCAACGCCGCGUGAGUGAUGAAGGGUUUCGGCUCGUAAAACUCUGUUAUUAGGGAAGAACAAAUGUGUAAGUAACUGUGCACGUCUUGACGGUACCUAAUCAGAAAGCCACGGCUAACUACGUG
This 497-nucleotide ribosomal RNA is filed under the name uncultured bacterium. RNAcentral describes it as "partial 16S ribosomal RNA". It matches the Rfam family "Bacterial small subunit ribosomal RNA", at positions 28 to 507 of the family's 1533-position model. The record is from RNAcentral.